RNAcentral lists this ribosomal RNA (460 nucleotides) under uncultured bacterium. RNAcentral describes it as "SSU rRNA". It matches the Rfam family "Bacterial small subunit ribosomal RNA", at positions 26 to 518 of the family's 1533-position model. The record is from RNAcentral.
AGAAUCAACGCUGGCGGCGUGCCUAACACAUGCAAGUCGAACGAGAAAGUGGAGCAAUCCAUUAGUAAAGUGGCGCACGGGUGAGUAACACGUGACUAACCUACCUUUUAGUGGGGGAUAACCUAGGGAAACCUGGGCUAAUACCGCAUAAUACCUACGGGUCAAAGCAGCAAUGCGCUGAAAGAGGGGGUCGCGGUCGAUUAGUUAGUUGGCAGGGUAAUGGCCUACCAAGACUGUGAUCGAUAUCCGGCCUGAGAGGGCGCACGGACACACUGGAACUGAAACACGGUCCAGACUCCUACGGGAGGCAGCAGUGGGGAAUUUUGCGCAAUGGGGGAAACCCUGACGCAGCAACGCCGCGUGGAGGAUGAAGUCCCUUGGGACGUAAACUCCUUUCGAUCGGGACGAUAAUGACGGUACCGGAAGAAGAAGCCCCGGCUAACUUCGCGCCAGCAGCCGC